RNAcentral lists this unclassified non-coding RNA (1852 nucleotides) under uncultured fungus. Its description in RNAcentral is "sequence contains 18S rRNA gene, ITS1, 5.8S rRNA gene, ITS2, 28S rRNA gene". The stretch from base 741 to 1852 matches the Rfam family "Eukaryotic large subunit ribosomal RNA", at positions 1 to 961 of the family's 3401-position model. The record is from RNAcentral. Lineage: Eukaryota; Fungi.
UGCUGGAUCAUUACCUUGUCAAAAACAUACGACACAUUGUAUUUGUGGACGGACCAAAGCUGUGGCACCGACUCGCCACGGCUCCCGUUUGUUCACCACCGGUGGAGAAGACCAUGGUGCGCCCGGCUUGGGGCACAAUGAGCUAGCAGCCCACUCCGUUCCAGGCUCUAGCUCGACACCAUGCCCGUGGUCGAAAACGGCUGUGCUGGAUCCUAUGCGACGCGGAGCAGUUGUUGCCUCUAACAAUGUCCGUGGCUGCCGUGAGGCGUCGCGAUAGACCCCCCAUGCCUCUUGGGGAGGAGUAGGAUUAAUGAGUACCGAACUGGGUGCCGCCAGCAAAAUCAUUUUUCACUAAACAUUUUUCACAAACAAACAAAACAUAUUAGUCCAGCCGGUGGAUCACUCGGCUCGUAGUUCGAUGAAGAUCGCAGCCAAAUGCGAUAGAUAGUGCGAACUGCAGAUAUUCUGAGCACUAAAAUGUCGAAUGCACAUUGCACCUUGGGAUUUACAUCCCUCGGUACGCCUGGUUCAGGGUCGUUUCUCAAAAACGCAGCUGACUCCGCUGCUCGAUCGACCAUGGCACGAGCUUUUGUCCAGCCUCGGGACAGCUCCGGGCCUGGUCUUGUUGUGGUAGCCGUUGCGAAGUGGACUCAGUCCAAGGGCAACAGCCGGUCGUGCAUAACCAAACCAAGACUGGCUGAGACUCGCCUAGGGCUUGUCCGUUGCUUCGCUCGAUUCUUCGACCUGAACUCAGACGUGAUGACCCGCUGAACUUAAGCAUAUCAGUAAGCGGAGGAAAAGAAACUAACAAGGAUUCCCUUAGUAACGGCGAGUGAACAGGGAUCAGUCCAGCGCUGAAUCUCGACGUUUAGGCGUCGCGACGUGUAGCGUAUAGGCUGUGCGCUUGGCCGUGUCCGAAGGCACAAGUUUCCCAUGACUGGGGCGCCAGAGAAGGUGAUAGACCUGUAGCGCUUGAGGGCUAGGCUGAUUGCACUGUCUUGGAGUCGGGUUGUUUGGGAUCGCAGCCCAAAGUAGGUGGUAAACUUCAUCUAAGACUAAAUAUCACUACGAGACCGAUAGCGAACAAGUACCGUGAGGGAAAGUUGCAAAGCACUUUGAAGAGAGAGUUAAAGAGGACGUGAAACCGGUUGGAUGGAAACGGAUAGAGCCGGCGAAGUCGCUCGUAUUCAGCCAAAGGCUCGGGGUUGUUCCGCUGCUGGGUUGCUAAUCACGCUCGGCGGUGGUACGUGCUCCGGGUUGAGGUGCAUUUGCGGGUGUUUGCGCUGAGACUUGCGAGGUGGCUGCUGGACCCGUGCCUAGAGGCUUCUCUUCGGGGUUGUACCUGGUCGCGGUGACAGUUGUUCGCCUUGCUCGUACACGCGUCUGGCCUACGGACCUGGGUCGCGCUGCUGUCGGUGCGCGGUGGUAUCGCAUGCGAUGCCUAGUGUGCUGGCCGUGGUUUGGCUCGGUGUUCACGGACGUGCUCUCGGUGUAGAAGCUGGUCAUCUCUCCGACCCGUCUUGAAACACGGACCAAGGAGUUUAGCGUAUACGCGAGUCAUUGGGUGAGAAAACCCAUAGGCGUAAUGAAAGUAAAGGCUCGGUCGCCGGGCUGACAUGCGAGUGCUCCGGCUACGGCUAGGCACGCAGCAUGGUCCCGUUGUAGUGGCUUGCCACGCAGCGGAGACAGAGCGUAUGCGCUGAGACCCGAAAGAUGGUGAACUAUUCCUGAGCAGGACGAAGCCAGAGGAAACUCUGGUGGAAGUCCGAAGCGAUUCUGACGUGCAAAUCGAUCGUCUGACUUGGGUAUAGGGGCGAAAGACUAAUCGAACCAUCUAGUAGCUGGUUCCCUC